This 253-nucleotide ribosomal RNA is filed under the name uncultured bacterium. Its description in RNAcentral is "partial 16S ribosomal RNA". It matches the Rfam family "Bacterial small subunit ribosomal RNA", at positions 524 to 776 of the family's 1533-position model. The record is from RNAcentral.
UACAGAGGGUGCGAGCGUUAAUCGGAAUUACUGGGCGUAAAGCGUGCGUAGGCGGUGAGUUAAGUCUGUCGUGAAAUCCCCGGGCUCAACCUGGGAAUGGCGAUGGAUACUGGCUCGCUAGAGUGUGAUAGAGGAUGGUGGAAUUCCCGGUGUAGCGGUGAAAUGCGUAGAGAUCGGGAGGAACAUCAGUGGCGAAGGCGGCCAUCUGGAUCAACACUGACGCUGAGGCACGAAAGCGUGGGGAGCAAACAGG